UAAAAAAUAAAAUUUAAAGAGAGAAAAGGAGACACAGGCAGACCCUGUGACACUACAGCUUCUGGCACACAGUAGGUGCAUCACAAACAUCUGUUGAGUUCACACACUCUUGCCUUCUCAAACCUUUUUGUCAAGUCUUCAGUGAAAAGGAAUUGCUGAUUGAGCAAGAAUUAAACUUCUAGAGACUUCUGGAUCCACUGAAGUUUAAGACAAGAGGGGUCUGUUUCUAUUUUAAACAGCUCUAGUCAGGAAGUGUUAGAAAGUUCUAAACAGGAAAUGUUCCAACACACCAUCCAAGCAUGAAGCAGGAGACACCUAUAAUUGAGCUUGCUGCCACCAACCCCAACAGCAAGAAUUCCAGUCCUGCUGCUGCAAAGUAGAAUUAUCGUUUGACUUCUGUUUUGCUGACAAGAAAUGUCCUGAGCAAGGCUACCUGGGAAAAUGACCUCACACAUGGAAAACGUUGGAGCCCAUCUGUUUCCAAUGUGCUGUUUUCCGAAAAUUAGGGAAGUUCAGUUUUCCCUUUGACACUCUCUCUUACUACCAAUCCCAAUGCCAGGGCUGUCCUGCUUCUACAAGUGACAAUGACAAAUAUGGGCCUGAAGAAAGAUGAGCUGAUGGCAUUCCCAGCUUAUUACCUCUCCUUGGGGUCCUUAUCUCACAUACAUGAAUUCAACUCAUAAACUCAGCUGGGUGAGGAUCUGUUAUUCAGCUACAUAAGAAGUGAUUGCUUAAGACUCGGGUGUGUGGUGAAAUGAGGCAGAAUUUUCUCAAUGGAA
This 779-nucleotide long non-coding RNA is filed under the name Homo sapiens (human). RNAcentral's name for it is "HSALNT0288176". Lineage: Eukaryota; Metazoa; Chordata; Mammalia; Primates; Hominidae. The record is from RNAcentral.